RNAcentral lists this ribosomal RNA (923 nucleotides) under Paragnomonia fragariae. Its description in RNAcentral is "eukaryotic LSU rRNA". It matches the Rfam family "Eukaryotic large subunit ribosomal RNA", at positions 23 to 978 of the family's 3401-position model. Lineage: Eukaryota; Fungi; Ascomycota; Sordariomycetes; Diaporthales; Sydowiellaceae. The record is from RNAcentral.
ACCCGCUGAACUUAAGCAUAUCAAUAAGCGGAGGAAAAGAAACCAACAGGGAUUGCCCUAGUAACGGCGAGUGAAGCGGCAACAGCUCAAAUUUGAAAUCUGGCCUCGGCCCGAGUUGUAAUUUGCAGAGGAUGAUUUUGGCGCGGUGCCUUCCGAGUUCCCUGGAACGGGACGCCACAGAGGGUGAGAGCCCCGUAUGGUCGGACACCAAGCCUUUGUAAAUCUCCUUCGACGAGUCGAGUAGUUUGGGAAUGCUGCUCAAAAUGGGAGGUAAAUCUCUUCUAAAGCUAAAUAUUGGCCAGAGACCGAUAGCGCACAAGUAGAGUGAUCGAAAGAUGAAAAGCACCUUGAAAAGGGGGUUAAACAGUACGUGAAAUUGUUGAAAGGGAAGGGCUCGUGACCAGACUUGUGCCAGGCGGCUCAUCCGGCGUUCUCGCCGGUGCACUCCGCCUGGCUCAGGCCAGCAUCGGUUUUUGCCGGGGGAUAAGAGCUUCGGGAACGUGGCCCCCUUCGGGGGGUGUUAUAGCCCGUUGCACGAUGCCCUGGCGGGGACCGAGGUUCGCGCUCCGCAAGGAUGCUGGCGUAAUGGUCACCAACCACCCGUCUUGAAACACGGACCAAGGAGUCGUCCAUCAGAGCGAGCGUUUGGGUGCAAAACCCGCACGCGUAAUGAAAGUGAACGCAGGUGAGAGCUUCGGCGCAUCAUCGACCGAUCCUGAUGUAUUCGGAUGGAUUUGAGUAAGAGUUUUGCUGGACGGACCCGAAAGACAGUGAACUAUGCUUGUAUAGGGUGAAGCCAGAGGAAACUCUGGUGGAGGCUCGCAGCGGUUCUGACGUGCAAAUCGAUCGUCAAAUAUGAGCAUGGGGGCGAAAGACUAAUCGAACUGUCUAGUAGCUGGUUACCGCCGAAGUUUCCCUCAGGA